CUGCCACAUAAGACAUGACUUUGCUCCUCCUUUGCCUGGUGCCAUGAAUGUGAGGUCUCCUCAGCCACGUGGAACUGUGGCUACCAUUACUGUGCUCACUUUACAGGUGAGGUCUGGAGAUUUAUGUAACAUGCCAAAGGUCACACAGCUGGACAUUGCAGAACCAAGAUUCAAAUCUCCACAGUCUGGCAGGUUCCCCCAGGAGCUGGUGCCUGAGAGCCUGGAGACAAGAGCCUGCUCAUAGGAUCAGCCUGUCUACUGCAAAAAGGCCUCCCCUCCUCCAGCAGCUGAUCCAGUUCUCCCGAUUCCCACUGGGGAUCCAUCUGUUCUUGAAUCUCAAUGCCAGCCUCGUCCUGUGGGAGCCAGUGAAGCUGGUGAUGCCUUUAUGGAGUAUACCUGCCCCUGAUCUUACUAAUAUGGUGAUCAGGCCUGACAUGGAAGAUUACUCUUCUGGAGUUGAGCUAAAGGACAUAAGAACAAAAUAAGCAUUUCUGAUAUGGACACUAUGACCACACACUCGCCUGGCAAAGACAUCGGCUUAUUUCAUUUCACUUGAAUUGGAACCAAAAAAGAAGAAUAUUGGCUAUCUUUGGGGGAGGAUGGGUGGCUACAAAUUACUAACACUAAGAUUUUGUUGUUGUUUUAAAUUAACAAAAGGACUUAAUUAAAGAAGAUUACAAAAAAGAAAAAAGUUAGGUGUUUUAACUCUUCUCAUAAUUCACUUUUAUUACUUGAUUCCCCAUCUAUCAAAUCUUCAAUCCUAAUGUGGAGCCUGAUAUAAAUGAAUUAAGACACAUUUAAGAGUGGAAAAAGUAAGUAUUGGAAAGACCACAAACUCUGUCAACAAAUAUGCAUGUACUUAGCUAGAUGGAAGAGGUCAUUUAUAAAGAGCUGCUUUUUUAAUAAAGAGACAAAUUAGAAUUAUCAAACACACUGCCAGCGGAAAGAAGUGAAAAUUGUGAUUUCUCUGGUCAAAAGGUAAGCUAAAGAGUUGCAAAGCAGAUCUACAUAUCUCAAGAGCCUCAAGAGUUAGCAUCAUAUUGAAACAUAAAAUAUAAGUUAAUAACAAUCUUUGUAAAUCACAAGUAAGAACUUGGACUAUAGGCUUAGGCUUAUAAAGAUGAGAACAUUAUUAUAUUGUAUUUUUAAAACCGUCCCAUUAAAAACACACACAAGGAACACCACUCUCUCUUGAAGGCAAUGAUUUCUGGCUACCUGCAGAAUCCUUUUUUUUCCCUCUCCAGCAUCAGUAGUGAGCCUGAACCAUGGAGUCAGAGUGAUUUAGACUUGAAUCCAAGCUCACAUAGCUAUGGAACAAUAAGCAGUAGUGGACAAGAUUAUUAUUGUUAUUACGUUUGAGAAUGACAUAGAAAACGCCUGUUUAUAAAAGUGGAGGCUAGAGAAGCUUACUUAGCCAAUGGAAUUGUCUGGCCUAGGAAAAAGGGCAAAUUAUGUAUGCUAUAUUUUUAUCGCUUUCUUUUA
Callithrix jacchus (white-tufted-ear marmoset) is the source of this 1482-nucleotide long non-coding RNA. RefSeq lists it as uncharacterized. The record is from RefSeq and is a predicted model, not a curated record. NCBI's taxonomy places the organism in Eukaryota, Metazoa, Chordata, Mammalia, Primates, Cebidae.